AGUGAACGCUGGCGGCAGGCCUAACACAUGCAAGUCGAGCGGCAGCGCGUCCGACCACCCUCGGGUGGUCGGAUGGCGGCGAGCGGCGGACGGGUGAGGAAUGCAUCGGAAUCUGCCUCGUUGUGGGGGAUAACGUAGGGAAACUUACGCUAAUACCGCAUACGACCUACGGGUGAAAGUGGGGGACCUUCGGGCCUCACGCGAUGAGAUGAGCCGAUGCCGGAUUAGCUAGUUGGCGGGGUAAAGGCCCACCAAGGCGACGAUCUGUAGCGGGUCUGAGAGGAUGAUCAGCCACACUGGAACUGAGACACGGUCCAGACUCCUACGGGAGGCAGCAGUGGGGAAUAUUGGACAAUGGGGGCAACCCUGAUCCAGCCAUGCCGCGUGUGUGAAGAAGGCCUUCGG
Molecule: ribosomal RNA, 405 nt
Filed under: uncultured bacterium
Lineage: Bacteria
Description: bacterial SSU rRNA
Rfam family: Bacterial small subunit ribosomal RNA
Source: RNAcentral